GGCUGUCAGGCUGUCUAGUCACAGAGGAAGGCUGUGCUUCUCUGGUCUCAGCUCUGAGGUCAAACCCCUCACACCUGAGAGAGCUGGACCUGAGCUACAAUCACCCAGGAGACUCAGGAGUCAGACUGCUCUCUGCUGGACUGGAGGAUCCACACUGCAGACUGGAGAAACUCAAAUGUCUGUGAUCUCACACUGGACCUAAACACAGUAAACAGACACCUCUCUCUGUCUGAGGAGAACAGAAAGGUGACAUGUAGGAGAGAGAAGCAGCCGUAUCCUGAUCACCCAGAGAGAUUUGAGGACUGGAGACAGGUGCUGUGUGGAGAGGGUUUGACUGGGCGCUGUUACUGGGAGGUAGAGUGGAGUGGGAGAGGGGAGGUUGAGUGGAGUGGGGGGGCUGUUAUAGGAGUGACAUAUAAAGGAAUCAACAGGAGAGGAGUGGUUAAGUACUGUUGUCUUGGAUCCAAUGACAAGUCCUGGAGUCUGUUCUGCUAUGACAACAGUUACUCUGCCUGUCACAAUAAUAACUCCACUACCAUAGACGUCCCCUCCUCCAGCUCCCACAGAGUAGGAGUGUAUCUGGACUGGUCAGCCGGCACUCUGUCCUUCUAUAGAGCCUCCUCUGACACACUGACCCACCUGAUCACAUUCACCUCCACAUUCACUGAGCCCCUCUAUCCAGGGUUUUGGGUUUAUUCUGUUGGCUCUUCAGUGUCCCUGAAAUAAUAACUGGACACACACACACACACACACACACACACACACACACACACACACACACACACACACACACACACACACACACACACACACACACACACACACACACACACACACACUGGACAAACACACACACACACACACUGGACAAACACACACACACUGGACACACACACAAACACACACACACAAACACACACAAACACACACACACACACUGGACACACAAACUGGGCACACACACACUGGACACACACACACACUGGAACACACACACACACACACACACACACACACUGAACACACACUGAACACACACUGAACACACACAAACUGGACACAAAAUGGACACACACACUCAACACACACACUGAACAAACACACACAAACACAUUCUGGACACACGCACACUGGACAAACGAAAACACACACACACUCACACACAUACACACACACACACUGGACACACACACACACACACACACACACACACACACUGGACACACACACACACACACACACACACACACACACACACACACUGGUCAAACAAAAAUACACACACACACACUGGACACACACACACACACACACACACACACACACUGGACACACACACACACACACACACACACACACACACACACACACACACUGGUCAAACAAAAAUACACACACACACACACACUGGACACACACACACACACACACUGGACAAACAAAGUGGACAAACACACACACUGGACACACACACACACAAACACUGGAUACACACAGACACACACACACUGGACACACACACUAGACAAACACACACACACACACACUGGACUCACACACACACACUGGACACACACACACACUGGACACACACACACACACACUGGACACACACACACACACACUGGACACACACACACACACACUGGACACACACACACACACACUGGACACACACACACACACUGGACACACACACACACACACUGGACACACACACACACACUGGACACACACACACACACACUGGACACACACACACACACUGGACACACACACACACACUGGACACACACACACACACUGGACACACACACACACACACUGGACACACACUGGACAAACACACACACACUGGACACACACUGGACAAACACACACACACACACACACUGGACAAACACACACACACACACACACUGGACAAACACACACACACACACACUGGACAAACACACACACACACUGGACAAACACACACACACACUGGACACACACACACACUGGACACACACACACACACACUGGACACACACACACACACACUGGACACACACACACACACACUGGACACACACACACACACUGGACACACACACACACACUGGACACACACACACACACACACACACACACACACACACUGGACACACACACACACACACACACUGGACAAACACACACACACACACACACUGGACAAACACACACACACACACACACACUGGACAAACACACACACACACACACACACUGGACAAACACACACACACACACACUGGACAAACACACACACACACACACUGGACAAACACACACACACACACACUGGACAAACAGUAACAUUCUCAGAACAUACUGCACUUGUUUUAUCCUGUUUUAGAUGUAUCCUCUGUUUAAACAUUUAAACUCUUACAAUAACACUGUUAAAAUACCAAUGUGAUCAUUUCUUGUCUUUUAUGUUGGAAAAACAAAUUGUACAAUUAUAUGUGGACAUACGCUCCAUAGUUGUACAAGUAUAUAUGAUUAUAUUGUACUUUUCAUAAUAAAACAUAUUUGAAA
RNAcentral lists this long non-coding RNA (2562 nucleotides) under Salmo salar (Atlantic salmon). Its description in RNAcentral is "lncRNA (ENSSSAG00000101222.1)". The record is from RNAcentral. Lineage: Eukaryota; Metazoa; Chordata; Actinopteri; Salmoniformes; Salmonidae.